AGUGAACGCUGGCGGUAGGCCUAACACAUGCAAGUCGAACGGCAGCACAGUAAGAGCUUGCUCUUACGGGUGGCGAGUGGCGGACGGGUGAGGAAUACAUCGGAAUCUACUUUUUCGUGGGGGAUAACGUAGGGAAGCUUACGCUAAUACCGCAUACGACCUACGGGUGAAAGCAGGGGAUCUUCGGACCUUGCGCGAUUGAAUGAGCCGAUGUCGGAUUAGCUAGUUGGCGGGGUAAAGGCCCACCAAGGCGACGAUCCGUAGCUGGUCUGAGAGGAUGAUCAGCCACACUGGAACUGAGACACGGUCCAGACUCCUACGGAAGGCAGCAGUGGGGAAUAUUGGACAAUGGGCGCAAGCCUGAUCCAGCCAUACCGCGUGGGUGAAGAAGGCCUUCGGGUUGUAAAGCCCUUUUGUUGGGAAAGAAAAGCAGCAGGUUAAUACCCCGCUGUUCUGACGGUACCCAAAGAAUAAGCACCGGCUAACUUCGUG
This 492-nucleotide ribosomal RNA is filed under the name uncultured bacterium. RNAcentral's name for it is "partial 16S ribosomal RNA". It matches the Rfam family "Bacterial small subunit ribosomal RNA", at positions 29 to 507 of the family's 1533-position model. The record is from RNAcentral.